GAACGCGGUUCCGCUACCGAGCGCGCUGACGGUGCAGCUGAGAUUUCGGACAGAGAGAGAGAGAGAGAGAGAGAUUUCGUGAGGACGGAGUGUAACCGCUGUGCGACUCGUGAUGCCGCGCACAGCAGCCUUCUCACCCAGCUGCUCAAUCAUAAAUAAACGCGCCGCCUGUUGACCUUCUGCUCGGUUUCAGGGGCGACCUGGAUGUCCUAGUAAACAUUUUUUUGCGCAGAGAAGAAUGUGAAAUAGUGCGCUGGUUAUUAUUAGGGCGGCGUUUGUGAGGAUUGCAAACUUUCUGUGAGACUCUUAACACCGGAUAUUCCUGCUGCUGCUGCUGUUUAGUAGUGGAUGUUUGGGGCACGCGCGCGAUGAGGACUCUGAGGUAAAGGCUUUUCUCUCUCUCAGUGAUGGCCUCUCUGGUGCAGCUGUUCAUAGACACGCCUCAUCUGGAAAACGUUUAGAACUCUGACGACAUCCGCGCACACACACUUUGGACAUCACAACACACUCCUGCUUAGCCAUGUAUAGUGUGGAGGACCUUCUUAUCUCUCAUGGAUACAAAAUCAGCAGCAACAACAACGUCCCUCCAUCGCACUCAUCCUCACCCUCGUCCCAUGAACAGCGGCCGGCGACGCGCAGUAACAGUCGGUGUGAAAUCACAGACAAGCGGAGGGGACAUGGCGCAGUGAACGGCUACAAAGCGGACUGCGUUUACGGUGGUGAUGUGAGACAGACUUCAUCUCGGAGUGGCCCCAGUGACACAGAGAUCAGAGACAAGAACCAGAGGACAGAGGAGGACAAUGCUAACCUAGUAGAUGGACACUCACCAGGAGGCACCUUGACCAGUGACAGCGGAUUCCAUGAUGCCCACAGAGAAAUGUACACUCAUCCAAGGCCAGAGCAUGAUGUUGCUUACUGGCGAAGACGGGGUCAAGACUUCAACAUGCUCCUGGACUACGUGGACAUCAGGGAGCCACAGGGAAAGCAAUUAGGUGGUCACCAUAAAGCACAGGGCAUGCAACGAAGGCCAGAGUCAGCAUUAACCACUGAAGAGCAUCGUCGUGAGAGACAGCGCAGAGCAGACAGUGCACGUGCCAGAGAGCGUGAACUGGCCCUCUACCAGUGGAAAAUGGCAGCAGAGAGGAAGUACCAAAGCCUGGGCACAGAAGAGUGGCGUCCAGCUGUAGGAAUAGGUCAACAUAUGUCUGAAAGUGAAGGUGAAAGAUGGGCACAGGAGCAGCGGCGGCCUCGCACAGCAGAAGGUGCUGUUCCUCCCAGGACCAAAGCCAAAUCCCAGUCCCUGCCAAGAAUGGCCAUGCCCUCAGACAGUAUCCAGUACUUAAGCAUAUCAUCCUCUGGCCAUGACCCAUGUGGAAGCUAUCGAACAAAUGGGCACCAGUCACGGGUGCCUCAAGGUCGCAGUCUCAGUGAAGGGGAAAGUAGGGAGCGAUGGAUUGACAAUAGCCGGUCAGGUGUACAGUCUGCACCCCCAUCAAAGCCCCGUUUUAGCCGACCUCUUAGACCUCCAUCAUAUGAAGUUCACCAGCAGAUGCGAGGAAGUUCAGAGAUGCUCUCUGGUGAGUUUGUGCCCCACCCCAGAGACAGAACUCCACUGCCUUUUUCCAGACAGGAUUAUUUUGCACAGGAACUUGGAGGGUCUGGCAUGGAGCCCCCAGGUUACAUCCCUCCACCAUCUUACAGGAGGCAACCUGUCAUCAGGGGAGGGCACAGGACUUAUGCCAAUUCCAUGGGGAACUACCAGUACAGGGGAGACCCAUAUAUGCAAGGGCCUGCCAUGGCCGAGGUCCAGGAGUGGUUCAUGAGACAGACAGGGAUGGCUUGGCCUGACAAUUACAGGGAUGGGAGGAGGAGUAUGCCCUGUAGGAGACAGGCAUACCCUGGUUAUGGGGAGGAGCACAUAGGGAAUGUUCAGUACAUACCCUUUGAUGACCCACGAGUCAGACAUAUUUCAGGAGGGAGAAUGGAUGGGAACUCGCUGACCGAUGCUGACAAAAUCAGGAAUAUCAGAAAAGACGUCCCCAUCACCUCCACAUCUGAGAAGUCUCCUGAUGACAGUGCCUUUCUGUUCUCAGGAAAACCAUUCAGCAACACAGAAGCAAGUAACAGCAAUAUCAGUGAUUGUGUUAAUGAAGCAGUCAUGCAUAAGGAGGUGUCAGGAGAGGUGAUCAACUCAAAAUCAACAAAUGAUGAAAACUCCAACAGGUACCCAGCCAUCCCUGACUAUCUAAAUUCCUUCCAAAUAACAUCACAACAUCAAACAUCCCAACAGAAACCCAGCAUAGACCAACAAUUCUGUGAUACAGUAACACAAGUAAAGACAUUUGAGGCUCAAACAGCAGCUGAAAAUAAGAAAAACAAGAAGAAAAUUAAAGAGACUAUGUUCUGUUUAGUGUCAGUUCCAAUAAACGUGGUAGCCAACAAAGAAGCUAUUGAUCCAAAUAACAAUGAAAAAAUAUCAAGCUUAGUGGUGAUACCUACAGAAAAUUCAGUGACCCAACUCUGUAGCAAAGACAUGCCAAAGACUGCAAACAGCAGUGAGCAAUUAAUACAAUCCAGCAGCUCACUGAACACAAAAAGGACCAAAAGAGCUCCACUUCGGAAAGAGAUCAUAGACGUUUGGUCUCUCCAAGCAAGUGCUGACAAAGAAUUGUGCUAUGCAGGAUCCUGGCCAGGUGAUCAAUAUAAAAAUCAAGAGACUCAGACAGGUUCUCUUGAGGGUUCAAGAAAUACAACUGUACAAAAUCCUCAAACCCAGGUUACAUAUGACCCUCUAUCAUCCACAGACAGUGGGCUGGGGACUGAAUGCAGUGUCAACAAGUGUCCCGUAAAAGUCCAAAAGAAUUUCAACCUUUCCAGCAAUAGUGCAUUUUCCCAAACAAAAACAGCUAGCAGCUCAAGUACAAAAAGCCCAGUUCAACUCAUAACAGCUCCAUCACCACCAUCUCCUGAUCGCCAGCUCCUACUGAGAAAGAGUGCACCCAAACCCCAAGCACUAAAUGGCCAAGAAGCCUUUGGCCAGUUCUUGUUAAAACCUGUAAACAGGAGACCAUGGGAUGCCAUUGGGGAACUUGAAUCUUUUAACAAGGAGCUGCAGGAUCAAAAUGCCAAACAACAAACCACUGAUCAGGCUAUAGAGGACCUUGAUGAGGCAUUGAAAAGCAUUUUAGAGGUAGACACCACAAUCAUGGAGUUCAGUAGACCUGAGUUGGCUACACAUAGGGUUAAACAGCAACAUACAGAAAGAAGUCCUGAGCGACAGUUAAAGAAUGACAACUUAGAUUUCAGGUCAGAUUUAGAGCACAGUGGUGUGACUCAAAUAGGUAAAGAUUUCAGGGAAGUAGGAAGUGCCUUCUCUACACUAGUGGGUCAGUUUGUAAAUCCUGCCAUACCACCAAGACAAGAGAUGGACAGUGGGUUUGUCAAUUAUGAGGUCUUGAGUAUGACGCAGGAUGACCUGAUGGUGAACAGGUUGGAUAUUACAGUGCCAAAGGAAUCGUUACUGAAGGAUGUUGGACUUACAGUGUACACAGUGAUCCCAGACUCAGUGAAACUGGAAUCACCUGUAGGUUUAAGCCCAGAGUCUCCAAUGCUGACAAGUCCCUCUGACAACUCAGAAACAUGUGAGGCUUCACAGAUCACGUCUUCAGAUAGUGGAGGAGAUCAAAAUACAAACAGCCCUGACUUUAGUUCAAAGCAUAAGCAUUCAAACAGUAAUAUAAGCUUUGCUAAUAAACCUGACCAGAAGAAAGCGUCAGAGAACAGCAAAGUUAUCACUGGCUCAGAAAGGUCACUUCACAUUCAUGGUGUCAGAAGUCAGCAGUUCACAUUUAUGCCAAACCCUGAUAAUGCUGAUUAUGACGAUGAUCCGUAUCUGAGCAAUGAAAAAACAAUAGCAGAUGAACAUCUGGAGGCUCUUCUGAGUCAAGAGAAAGCUAAUAGCAUGCCAACAGAAGAUCUUAGCAAUCUGUAUCAAAUUCAGUGUGCCAAAGGAAUUCCUGUGCACGAGUCCAUUGAACAGAGGGCAGCCAGGAUCCUGGGCAUUGUUGUACCAGCUGAAGCCUUGGUUGUCAGUCAGGAUGGUUGCAAACAGGAUCAGGAAGAUGAGCACGGUGACGAACCGAGUGAGGAAAAGGCUGAAUUUGUUAUGCAAACCAUGACAAUAAAGCCAAGUGAAGAAACACAGCAUGUGAGAAGAGAGUAUGAGCAAGUCAUAGAGACAUCAGUCCACAUCCACGAACUGAUGGAGAAGAUUGAUACUGCCAUUGAGGAAGACCAUGGGCCUGCAGGAGAGAAGUCCAGUAAAGAAAGUCAUAGUACUUCGUUAGUGUUAGAUUUACCCGAGUUUCCACCCAAUAACCUGCGUUUAUCACUGCCAGUGACUGAAGAUAAGGAUCUGACUUUAAGUGUGUGUGGAGGUGAGAAAAAGGUUACACCUGCUGCAGACAUGUCUGAAGGCCAACCGGACAAGUCCAUCAUACAUCAUCCAACUUCUGUGUGCAGAAAUGAAGAAAUGUCUGCAGAGCGCAUUAAUCCUCUCAUGAAGGAUGAGUCAAUGUCAUGCGUCAGUGGUUUCAAAAAAGGGAUCCAGAAAGGGAGGGGAGAAGAGGAAAUAGGAAAGGAAAGAAACGAAAAUAGAGUUCAAGAGGACAACGUAGUAGAAGGAGAAGAGGAGCAAUCUGUGAUGAAUGAAACAAGAGUAAAUGAGUGGCAAGCUGUGUUUGAGAAAAAGAUAGAUGAGGAUGUUGAUAGAAAGAUGGAUGAGGAGGAAGAGACAAAGGAAGAAAUAGUGGAAAGAACAAUCCAGUCACCAAAGUCCAUGGGGCGCUCGGUCUCAGUCCCUCAGUCACGCAGUGGGACAGUGGUCAAGAGAGAAAUCACACUCCCAGACACCUUUAGUAUGGCCACUGAUUCAGAUUCACUUGAGGAGGAUGACAUUCAGUCCUUUUCAGAAAUGACAGCUGAUGUCCCGGGCCCAGGUUAAAACAAGGGAAGUAUUGCCCAGAUUAUUUCACUUACACCAGUGUUUCCAGUUCUGCUCAGGGUGAGUUUUUUUUAUUUCCCAACAACACAUUAUUGAACUCAUCAGCUAAAUAAGAAUCUUGUACUGAAUUUUAAAUUGGUGUGUUGGAACAGGAAGAACACUGUGACUCCAGCACUGGGAUUUGUAAACAGCCCCUUAUGCACUAAAAUACCCCCCCGCCAAAAAAAAAAAAGGUUAAAUGUUAUCGAACUAUGUUCAAACUCUUAUGAUCCCAGCCGAGUUGAGAGGGUGUAAACUCGGACCUUGGUACAGCAUCUCAGACUGCCCACACUGUCCUGUCCUGUCACUGUGACCUGGCUGGGAAAUCAGUCAAAUUUUCUCUUUUCUUUUUAACUUCAUUCGGUUGUUGUUGUAAACAAAAACCGACAGCACACUUUCUUCAUGUUAUGCAUCUUUUUUACAACAUAUUUUUUUAAUAAAAUAAGAACAAUUCUGUUCAUACAACGCUGUCGAGAAGAAUAUAACCUGGAAAUUAUUACAUUUAAAGGCUGUAAAUACUUUGAUCUGCACCAGCACAUCUUGAUGUUUGUUAAAUUUUCACCAAACAGGUUUAUAGAGCAACUAAAAUAAAGCGUACAACAUACCAGCUUAGACUUCUCAUCACCUGCAGUUUGACCAGUGACCGAGAAGUCACUGCUUAAAUCUGCUACCAGAAGCAAAUUUAUAAACUGAAACAAGGUUUGAUUACAAGUCUUCCAUUGUAAAUAAUAAUAAUAAAAAUAAAUGCAAGUGAGUGAAUAUUUAAUGUCUCAUAAAUGAUCACCCUGCAUCAAUAUACUCGCUAACAAAGAGCACAACUGAAUGAUGUAUUUUGACAGCUGAGAUAUUCAUAUCAGUGUGUCCACAUAGCUAUUAUUAGACAUUGUCAUAAUAACGUAAUUUUUCAAGCAUGCAAUACCUUUCAGUUUCCUCAUUUUCAAAAUCGUAUCUGAAACAUGAGCUUGUAAUUAUCAGUAACCAGCAGAAAAUAUAUCAUGUCAGAGAUGCAAAAACGUAAUAAAUGUAUAUUUAUUUUAGCAAGCAAUCUUCAGACUGUACAAAGGAAAAUGCAACAUUAUAUAAUUACUUGACAUUUAAUCGUGCAAUUCUAUUUGCUUGAUUACAAUCACUUUGCAAAUGUCACAUACGAGUGUGUGUAAUUUCCUGCAGAGUCUGUGCGGUAAAUGAGCUUUCAGAUGGUGGUGUGCCUUUGGACGCAGAAAUGUCAAAAUGUAUUGUGUGUUGUUUGUAUAUUUGUAUAGUUCAUACGUCACUAAAUCUUCCUUGACAAGUUAGAGAAUUGUGUUAUUGGUUACUCUUUUGCAUGCUCUAGUAGGUUCCACCUGAAGUUCUUCCAUUAGAGCACCGUCAGUAUUGGUAAUUCAUUAACACUGGUUAAUGUUAUACAGGAGGAACAGCUACAUGAGAACUUCAAUAUGAUACAACACACUGUCGUAAAUAUUAAGCUGAUUUGGGGCACUCAGGCUGUGCUCUAUCGAUGAUGCAAAUUAAUCCAAUAUCUGUGGGCGUUUGGGGAGAAAAGACUCACACGUACAUUUUAACAGUAAGUGGCCAAUAUCAUCAGUGUUUAGGUUCAGAACAUAAAUGACUAUGGUGUUGUAAAAUACAGUACCAGCCAAAACUUUGGACGCACCUUCUAAUUAAACGUUUUUUCUUUAAUUUUAUUAAAUAAAAGACGCUUCAUGUCUUAAAAGUAAUGAUGGAUGUCGUUCCUCUUUACAUAGUUGAGCGGUUCUUGAUGUAAUAUGGAUUACUACAGUUGUGAAAUCGGGUUAUUUACUGUAUUUUUAUUAUUUUGAUCUCGAAGGCAAGAAUUUGCACUAAUUAACUAGACGAGGCACCUGUUAAUUGAAAAGCGUUCCAGGUGACAACCUCAUGAAGCUGGUUAAGAUAAUGCCAAUAGUGUGCGAAGCGUCAUCAAGGAAAAUAGUGGCUACUCUGAAGAAUCUAAAAUAUGAAACUUUUUUUUUUGGGGGGGGGGGUUACGCUUUUUUGUUUAUCACAUAAUUCCAUACACGAUCCAUAUGUUAUUUCAUAGUUUUGAUGUCUUCAGUAUUGUUCUACACUGUAGAAAACAGUCAACAUACAGAAAAAAAACCUAUGAAUGAGUAGGGGUGUACAAACUUUUGGCUGGUACUGUACAUUUCUUUUAAUAAGCCUUUCUAUUUUCAUACAGAAGUUGUGUGUAUAUGUAUGUAUGUAUGUACAGUAUGUAUGUAUGUGUUCUUGUGUAAGUCACUGUUGCUGUGUGUUGAUUAAUUAUUCUGUGUCGGCAUGAGAUAAGCAGUAUAUUAUGGGUAAAACUGAGGAUUCAGGUUUUGCAUAUUAUUGCAUUUGGUACUAUAUAAUAAAAAUCAUUAUAUUUCAAAA
Neoarius graeffei (lesser salmon catfish) is the source of this 7432-nucleotide RNA transcript. It is a transcript of the gene named junctional cadherin 5 associated a, with no coding region annotated. The record is from RefSeq and is a predicted model, not a curated record. The transcript is spliced from 6 exons. Lineage: Eukaryota; Metazoa; Chordata; Actinopteri; Siluriformes; Ariidae.